CCUACGGGUGGCUGCAGUGGGGAAUAUUGCACAAUGGGGGAAACCCUGAUGCAGCGACGCCGCGUGAGUGAAGCAGUAUUUAGUUAUGUAAAGCUCUAUCAGCAGGGAAGAAAAUGACGGUACCUGAGUAAGAAGCCCCGGCUAACUACGUGCCAGCAGCCGCGGUAAUACGUAGGGGGCAAGCGUUAUCCGGAUUUACUGGGUGGAAAGGGAGCGUAAACGGUGAUGCAAGUCAGGAGUGAAAGGCCGGGGCUCAACUCCGGGACUGCUCUUGAAACUGUGUGACUGGAGUGCAGGAGAGGUAAGUGGAAUUCCUGGUGUAGCGGUGAAAUGCGUAGAUAUUAGGAGGAACACCAGUGGCGAAGGCGGCUUACUGGACUGUAACUGACGUUGAGGCUCGAAAGCGUGGGGAGCAAACAGGAUUAGAUACCCCUGUAGUC
RNAcentral lists this ribosomal RNA (440 nucleotides) under uncultured bacterium. Its description in RNAcentral is "partial 16S ribosomal RNA". It matches the Rfam family "Bacterial small subunit ribosomal RNA", at positions 338 to 795 of the family's 1533-position model. The record is from RNAcentral.